UGGGCUUGACAUCCCGCGGACAGAUGUAGAGAUACAUCCUUCCCUUCGGGGACUGCGGUGACAGGUGGUGCAUGGUUGUCGUCAGCUCGUGUCGUGAGAUGUUGGGUUAAGUCCCGCAACGAGCGCAACCCUUAUUGUUAGUUGCUACGCAAGAGCACUCUAACGAGACUGCCGUUGACAAAACGGAGGAAGGUGGGGACGACGUCAAAUCAUCAUGCCCCUUAUGUCCAGGGCCACACACGUACUACAAUGGCGGUCAACAGAGGGAGGCAAUACUGCGAAGUGGAGCGAAUCCCUAAAAGCCGUCCCAGUUCGGAUUGCAGGCUGCAACCCGCCUGCAUGAAGUUGGAAUCGCUAGUAAUCGCGGAUCAGCAUGCCGCGGUGAAUACGUUCCCGGGCC
RNAcentral lists this ribosomal RNA (400 nucleotides) under uncultured bacterium. RNAcentral describes it as "bacterial SSU rRNA". It matches the Rfam family "Bacterial small subunit ribosomal RNA", at positions 976 to 1380 of the family's 1533-position model. The record is from RNAcentral.